Molecule: transfer RNA, 91 nt
Filed under: Faecalibacterium prausnitzii
Lineage: Bacteria; Bacillati; Bacillota; Clostridia; Eubacteriales; Oscillospiraceae
Also listed under: 7 other names
Description: tRNA-Ser
Rfam family: tRNA
About the family: Transfer RNA (tRNA) molecules are approximately 80 nucleotides in length. Their secondary structure includes four short double-helical elements and three loops (D, anti-codon, and T loops).
Source: RNAcentral
GGAGAUGUAUCGAAGUGGUCGUAACGAGAACGACUCGAAAUCGUUUUGUCCUUAACCGGGCACGUGGGUUCGAAUCCCACCAUCUCCGCCA